RNAcentral lists this ribosomal RNA (426 nucleotides) under uncultured bacterium. RNAcentral's name for it is "bacterial SSU rRNA". It matches the Rfam family "Bacterial small subunit ribosomal RNA", at positions 917 to 1344 of the family's 1533-position model. The record is from RNAcentral.
GGGCCCGCACAAGCAGUGGAGUAUGUGGUUUAAUUCGAUGCAACGCGAAAAACCUUACCUACUCUUGACAUACUUGGGAGCUCUUGUAAUGAGAGUGUGCCUUUUGGAACCAAGAUACAGGUGCUGCAUGGCUGUCGUCAGCUCGUGUCGUGAGAUGUUCCGUUAAGUCGGAUAACGAGCGCAACCCUUACCCUUAUUUGCCAGCGAUACGGUCGGGAACUAUAAGGGGACUGCCGGUGAUAAACCGGAGGAAGGUGAGGACGACGUCAAGUCAUCAUGGCCCUUACGAGUAGGGCUACACACGUGCUACAAUGGGGAAUACAGACGGACGCUAAGCCGCGAGGUGGUGCUAAUCCUAGAAAGUUUCUCGUAGUCCGGAUUGGAGUCUGCAACUCGACUCCAUGAAGUCGGAAUCGCUAGUAAUCG